GCGUGGAAGAGGAAGAAAAGAGGGCCUAGGAGCAAUGGGCAUGGGAACAUAGAGGAAGGCCUAGGAGGCAGAGUCUUCCUGAUGCCUCCCAUGCCUAUUGUUCCUAGGUGCUCCUUCCACUUCCUUUCAGCU
RNAcentral lists this microRNA precursor (132 nucleotides) under Dichanthelium oligosanthes. Its description in RNAcentral is "MIR2118 microRNA precursor family". It matches the Rfam family "MIR2118 microRNA precursor family". Lineage: Eukaryota; Viridiplantae; Streptophyta; Magnoliopsida; Poales; Poaceae. The record is from Rfam by way of RNAcentral.